Molecule: ribosomal RNA, 253 nt
Filed under: uncultured bacterium
Lineage: Bacteria
Description: partial 16S ribosomal RNA
Rfam family: Bacterial small subunit ribosomal RNA
Source: RNAcentral
UACGAAGGGGGCUAGCGUUGCUGGGAAUCACUGGGCGUAAAGCGCACGUAGGCGGAUUGCUAAGUCAGGGGUGAAAUCCUGGAGCUCAACUCCAGAACUGCCUUUGAUACUGGCGAUCUCGAGUCCGGGAGAGGUGAGUGGAACUGCGAGUGUAGAGGUGAAAUUCGUAGAUAUUCGCAAGAACACCAGUGGCGAAGGCGGCUCACUGGCCCGGUACUGACGCUGAGGUGCGAAAACGUGGGGAGCAAACAGG